UACGGAGGGUGCAAGCGUUAUCCGGAUUCACUGGGUUUAAAGGGUGCGUAGGUGGGUCUGUAAGUCAGUGGUGAAAUCUCCGGGCUUAACUUGGAAACUGCCAUGGAUACUAUAGGUCUUGAAUACUGUGGAGGUCAGCGGAAUAUGUCAUGUAGCGGUGAAAUGCUUAGAUAUGACAUAGAACACCAAUUGCGAAGGCAGCUGGCUACACAAAUAUUGACACUGAGGCACGAAAGCGUGGGGAUCAAACAGG
RNAcentral lists this ribosomal RNA (253 nucleotides) under uncultured bacterium. Its description in RNAcentral is "partial 16S ribosomal RNA". It matches the Rfam family "Bacterial small subunit ribosomal RNA", at positions 524 to 776 of the family's 1533-position model. The record is from RNAcentral.